AAGGUUGGAUUUUGUCAUGAAUCCGUGGUCGAUCUAGACGAAACGAAAUUGCAGCUUUGUUGUCUCCGAGGUGCUGAUCGCACCGGUGCAAUCCGUUCGUAAAUCUGACGGACGGAUCUGCGGAGAUCACGCGUUGAUCGAGGAGAGGUCGGUAGUGGAAAAACGGUAUUUUCGCAAGAGUCGCGAUAUUUUAUGUACCGUUUC
This 204-nucleotide long non-coding RNA is filed under the name Ananas comosus (pineapple). Its description in RNAcentral is "long non-coding RNA (ACOM_LNC041215)". The record is from RNAcentral. Lineage: Eukaryota; Viridiplantae; Streptophyta; Magnoliopsida; Poales; Bromeliaceae.